RNAcentral lists this ribosomal RNA (435 nucleotides) under uncultured rumen bacterium. Its description in RNAcentral is "bacterial SSU rRNA". It matches the Rfam family "Bacterial small subunit ribosomal RNA", at positions 958 to 1392 of the family's 1533-position model. The record is from RNAcentral.
AACGCGAAGAACCUUACCAAGUCUUGACAUCUGCUUGACAGAGAGGGUAAUGCCUCUUUCCCUUCGGGGCAAGCAAGACAGGUGGUGCAUGGUUGUCGUCAGCUCGUGUCGUGAGAUGUUGGGUUAAGUCCCGCAACGAGCGCAACCCCUAUCUUUAGUAGCCAGCGGUUCGGCCGGGCACUCUAGAGAGACUGCCGGGGAUAACCCGGAGGAAGGUGGGGAUGACGUCAAAUCAUCAUGCCCCUUAUGAUUUGGGCUACACACGUGCUACAAUGGCGUAAACAAAGGGAAGCGACGCUGUGAAGUUGAGCAAAUCCCAAAAAUAACGUCUCAGUUCGGAUUGUAGUCUGCAACUCGACUACAUGAAGCUGGAAUCGCUAGUAAUCGCGGAUCAGAAUGCCGCGGUGAAUACGUUCCCGGGUCUUGUACACACCG